RNAcentral lists this ribosomal RNA (503 nucleotides) under uncultured bacterium. Its description in RNAcentral is "partial 16S ribosomal RNA". It matches the Rfam family "Bacterial small subunit ribosomal RNA", at positions 30 to 523 of the family's 1533-position model. The record is from RNAcentral.
AUUGAACGCUGGCGGCAGGCUUAACACAUGCAAGUCGAGCGGGGUGAUGGUGCUUGCACUAUCACUUAGCGGCGGACGGGUGAGUAAUGCUUAGGAAUCUGCCUAUUAGUGGGGGACAACAUCUCGAAAGGGAUGCUAAUACCGCAUACGUCCUACGGGAGAAAGCAGGGGAUCACUUGUGACCUUGCGCUAAUAGAUGAGCCUAAGUCGGAUUAGCUAGUUGGUGGGGUAAAGGCCUACCAAGGCGACGAUCUGUAGCGGAUCUGAGAGGAUGAUCCGCCACACUGGGACUGAGACACGGCCCAGACUCCUACGGGAGGCAGCAGUGGGGAAUAUUGGACAAUGGGGGGAACCCUGAUCUAGCCAUGCCGCGUGUGUGAAGAAGGCCUUAUGGUUGUAAAGCACUUUAAGCGAGGAGGAGGCUCUUUUGGUUAAUACCCAGAAUGAGUGGACGUUACUCGCAGAAUAAGCACCGGCUAACUCUGUGCCAGCAGCCGCCGUAA